RNAcentral lists this long non-coding RNA (352 nucleotides) under Androctonus crassicauda. The record is from RNAcentral. Lineage: Eukaryota; Metazoa; Arthropoda; Arachnida; Scorpiones; Buthidae.
AUGAAAUAUGAAUUAAUGGCAAAUGAACUGAAUGUGAUGUAUAAAUGCCACAUAAAGAUAAUUUCCUAUGUGAUGACUUGGGAUGAUAUUGCAACAACCUAUCACAAAAAUCAUAACAAAGUUAUCGAUUUGCCCCUAAAUAUAGGAACAUACAUCCAGACUAAUGUCCUCAAAAAGACACUGGAAACAUCUCCUUUGAAAAGAGAUGUGGGUUUGGUGAGGAGGGUGUGGAAUAUGAUAUUGAAAACAUCCUGAAACAGCUACAUAUAAUCAAAGUUAAAGAUGAAUGAGUACUAAGAGAGUGUUGUAAAAGUGAAACAACAGGACCCUAUAAUUAAAUUAUUAAUUAAAA